AAGUGCGUAGGCUUGAGAGUUAGGUAAAUCCGGCUCUCUCUAAGGCUGAGACACGACGUCGAGCUGCUACGGCAGUGAAGUCAUUGAUGCCAUGCUUCCAGGAAAAGCCUCUAAGCUUCAGAUAGUCAGGAAUCGUACCCCAAACCGACACAGGUGGUCGGGUAGAGAAUACCAAGGCGCUUGAGAGAACUCGGGUGAAGGAACUAGGCAAAAUGGUACCGUAACUUCGGGAGAAGGUACGCUCUUGAUGGUGAAGUCCCUCGCGGAUGGAGCUGACGAGAGUCGCAGAUACCAGGUGGCUGCAACUGUUUAUUAAAAACACAGCACUGUGCAAAAUCGCAAGAUGACGUAUACGGUGUGACGCCUGCCCGGUGCCGGAAGGUUAAUUGAUGGGGUUAGCGCAAGCGAAGCUCUUGAUCGAAGCCCCGGUAAACGGCGGCCGUAACUAUAACGGUCCUAAGGUAGCGAAAUUCCUUGUCGGGUAAGUUCCGACCUGCACGAAUGGCGUAAUGAUGGCCACGCUGUCUCCACCCGAGACUCAGUGAAAUUGAAAUCGCUGUGAAGAUGCAGUGUACCCGCGGCUAGACGGAAAGACCCCGUGAACCUUUACUACAGCUUGGCACUGAACAUUGAACCUACAUGUGUAGGAUAGGUGGGAGGCUAUGAAGACGUGACGCCAGUUGCGUUGGAGCCGUCCUUGAAAUACCACCCUUGUAUGUUUGAUGUUCUAACUUAGACCCGUUAUCCGGGUUGAGGACAGUGCCUGGUGGGUAGUUUGACUGGGGCGGUCUCCUCCCAAAGAGUAACGGAGGAGCACGAAGGUGGGCUAAUCACGGUUGGACAUCGUGAGGUUAGUGCAAUGGCAUAAGCCCGCUUAACUGCGAGAAUGACGGUUCGAGCAGGUGCGAAAGCAGGUCAUAGUGAUCCGGUGGUUCUGUAUGGAAGGGCCAUCGCUCAACGGAUAAAAGGUACUCCGGGGAUAACAGGCUGAUACCGCCCAAGAGUUCAUAUCGACGGCGGUGUUUGGCACCUCGAUGUCGGCUCAUCACAUCCUGGGGCUGAAGUCGGUCCCAAGGGUAUGGCUGUUCGCCAUUUAAAGUGGUACGCGAGCUGGGUUUAGAACGUCGUGAGACAGUUCGGUCCCUAUCUGCCGUGGGCGUUGGAAGAUUGAAGGGGGCUGCUCCUAGUACGAGAGGACCGGAGUGGACGAACCUCUGGUGUUCGGGUUGUGUCGCCAGACGCAUUGCCCGGUAGCUAAGUUCGGAAUUGAUAAGCGCUGAAAGCAUCUAAGCGCGAAGCGAGCCCUGAGAUGAGUCUUCCCUGAUACUUUAAGUAUCCUAAAGGGUUGUUCGAGACUAGAACGUUGAUAGGCAGGGUGUGUAAGCGUUGUGAGGCGUUGAGCUAACCUGUACUAAUUGCCCGUGAGGCUUAACCAUACAACACCCA
This 1446-nucleotide ribosomal RNA is filed under the name Vibrio cholerae. Its description in RNAcentral is "partial 23S ribosomal RNA". It matches the Rfam family "Bacterial large subunit ribosomal RNA", at positions 1514 to 2925 of the family's 2925-position model. Lineage: Bacteria; Pseudomonadati; Pseudomonadota; Gammaproteobacteria; Vibrionales; Vibrionaceae. The record is from RNAcentral.